AACGAACGCUGGCGGCGUGGAUUAGGCAUGCAAGUCGAACGCGAAAGGGGAGCAAUCCCUGAUUGAGUGGCAAACUGGUGAGUAACAGGUGGGCAAUGUGCCCCAAAGUGGGGGAUAACGUCCGAGAAAUCGGAGCUAAUACCGCAUAAGGCGUCAAGAACCUUGGUUCAUGACGUUAAAGGAGCAAUUCGCUUUGGGAUCGGCCCG
RNAcentral lists this ribosomal RNA (207 nucleotides) under uncultured bacterium. RNAcentral's name for it is "partial 16S ribosomal RNA". It matches the Rfam family "Bacterial small subunit ribosomal RNA", at positions 29 to 233 of the family's 1533-position model. The record is from RNAcentral.